CCACUACUCAAAAUUUCUGGCUCCGUCCCUGCCUACAAGUUAUGUUUGAUUAAUUUGGAUGUUUUGGUGUAUUUGUGCUAUUUGGGCAUUGUGGUUGUAUUGAAGGUUUAAUCUAAUUGAGGAUUAUGGACAAGGCCAUGGGUAAUUAGACUUUUUGAAAGAUCAAGUUUUAUGGAGGGUUUUAGGUUUAGGAGUCGACUUUGGUCAACUGGUUGACCAAAAAGUCAACAUUUGGUUAGAGUCAACUAUAAGCCAAAACUUGUAAUUUUUGUGUAGAGUUUGUAACUUGGAUUUUGAAUGAUGUAAUGAAUGACUUGAUGAUUUGUAAUGUUUGAAAGUUUGUAAUGAAAUGAUGUAACUUAUUUUUCAAGAAAC
RNAcentral lists this long non-coding RNA (375 nucleotides) under Lathyrus oleraceus (garden pea). Its description in RNAcentral is "Pisum sativum (pea) long non-coding RNA (PSAT_LNC000801)". The record is from RNAcentral. Lineage: Eukaryota; Viridiplantae; Streptophyta; Magnoliopsida; Fabales; Fabaceae.